This 70-nucleotide transfer RNA is filed under the name Salmo salar (Atlantic salmon). It matches the Rfam family "tRNA". From Rfam's summary of the family: Transfer RNA (tRNA) molecules are approximately 80 nucleotides in length. Their secondary structure includes four short double-helical elements and three loops (D, anti-codon, and T loops). Lineage: Eukaryota; Metazoa; Chordata; Actinopteri; Salmoniformes; Salmonidae. The record is from Rfam by way of RNAcentral.
GUUCCAAUGGCUCAGCGGGUUAGAGCAUGACGCUGGCAACACUAUGUGGGUUUGAUUCCCACAUGGGCCA